GAGUGAUCGAAAGAUGAAAAGCACUUUGAAAAGAGAGUUAAACAGCACGUGAAAUUGUUGAAAGGGAAGCGWUUGCGACCAGACUCGCCCGCGGGGUUCAGCCGGCAUUCGUGCCGGUGUACUUCCCCGUGGGCGGGCCAGCGUCGGUUUGGGCGGCCGGUCAAAGGCCCUCGGAAAGUAWCACCCCUCGGGGUGUCWUCUAGCCGAGGGUGCAAUGCGGCCUGCCCGGACCGAGGAACGCGYUCGG
Molecule: ribosomal RNA, 247 nt
Filed under: Aspergillus fischeri var. fischeri
Lineage: Eukaryota; Fungi; Ascomycota; Eurotiomycetes; Eurotiales; Aspergillaceae
Description: partial large subunit ribosomal RNA
Rfam family: Eukaryotic large subunit ribosomal RNA
Source: RNAcentral